Molecule: unclassified non-coding RNA, 574 nt
Filed under: Hevea brasiliensis (rubber tree)
Lineage: Eukaryota; Viridiplantae; Streptophyta; Magnoliopsida; Malpighiales; Euphorbiaceae
Source: RNAcentral
CGAUAUUUCCUGAAAGAAAACCUGAUCCAGUUGAAAGAAUAAAACAAAUUCAAUCAUCUGUGGGAAAGUCUAACACGUAUGUGCUGCCUACACCUAUUGAUGCUAAGGGUGUAGUCUCUUCAAGAACAAGUGGUUCAGUUGCCCACACAAGGCCAACUGACCUCAGUGGACGCACCCAUAAUUUGUGGCAUUCAUCCCCACUGGAACAGAAGAAGCAUGAAAAAGAUCCUGGUGACAGUCAUCUGUCAGAGUUCACCGUCUUUAAAGCACGAUCGGCACACAAAGAGAGCAACAGUAACAAUGCCUCCAACCAGUUACCCCCUCCUUUAGUGGAAGGAACUUCACUUCCACAGCUGGAUACAUAUAAUGCAUCCGAUAACAAAAAAAUUAAAUGGCAAUCUUUCUCUGGUCCAAUAACUAGUAAGCCAUGGUCUACAAAGCCUGCUUUAUCUGCCAGUGGCCCCAUCUCCUCUAACGAACUUCCCAAACAAGUUUCUGGAGUGCUUCCACGUGUAAUAAUUCCUCAGACUACAUCUCCAAAGGUGUCCCCAACUGCUUCACCUCCCCUUGCAUC